AUUGAACGCUGGCGGCAGGCCUAACACAUGCCAGUCGAACGGUAACAGGAAGAAGCUUGCUUCUUUGCUGACGAGUGGCGGACGGGUGAGUAAUGUCUGGGAAACUGCCUGAUGGAGGGGGAUAACUACUGGAAACGGUAGCUAAUACCGCAUAACGUCGCAAGACCAAAGAGGGGGACCUUCGGGCCUCUUGCCAUCGGAUGUGCCCAGAUGGGAUUAGCUAGUAGGUGGGGUAACGGCUCACCUAGGCGACGAUCCCUAGCUGGUCUGAGAGGAUGACCAGCCACACUGGAACUGAGACACGGUCCAGACUCCUACGGGAGGCAGCAGUGGGGAAUAUUGCACAAUGGGCGCAAGCCUGAUGCAGCCAUGCCGCGUGUAUGAAGAAGGCCUUCGGGUUGUAAAGUACUUUCAGCGGGGAGGAAGGGAGUAAAGUUAAUACCUUUGCUCAUUGACGUUACUCGCAGAAGAAGCACCGGCUAACUCCGUG
Molecule: ribosomal RNA, 490 nt
Filed under: uncultured bacterium
Lineage: Bacteria
Description: partial 16S ribosomal RNA
Rfam family: Bacterial small subunit ribosomal RNA
Source: RNAcentral